Molecule: small RNA, 514 nt
Filed under: Arabidopsis thaliana (thale cress)
Lineage: Eukaryota; Viridiplantae; Streptophyta; Magnoliopsida; Brassicales; Brassicaceae
Description: ATSL267680
Source: RNAcentral
UCUAAUAAGGAUACAAUUCUUACGCCUUCAAGUUCUGGUUGCGGUUUAAGUUUUUAUACUCAAUCAUACACAUGACAUCAAGUCAUAUUCGACUCCAAAACACUAACCAACCUUCUUCUUGCUUCUCAAAGCUUUCAUGGUGUAGGCAAAGCCCGUAUGAGUCUUUGGCUUUGUGUCUUCUAACAAGGAUACAAUUCUUAUGCCUAUAAGAUCCAGUUGCGGUUUAAGUUCUUAUACUCAAUUAUACACAUGACAUCAAAUCAUAUUCGACUCCAAAACACUAACCAAACUUCUUCUAGCUUCUCAAAGCUUUCAUGGUGUAGCCAAAGUCCGUAUGAUUCUUUGGAUUUGUAUCUUCUAACAAGGAAACACUUCUUAGGCUUAUAAGAUCAGGUUGCGGUUUAAGUUCUUAUACACAAUCAUACACAUGACAUCAAGUCAUAUUCGACUCCAAAACACUAACCAACCUUCUUCUUGCGUCUAGAAGAUUUCACGAUGUAGCCAAAGUCCGUAU